This 253-nucleotide ribosomal RNA is filed under the name uncultured bacterium. RNAcentral's name for it is "partial 16S ribosomal RNA". It matches the Rfam family "Bacterial small subunit ribosomal RNA", at positions 524 to 776 of the family's 1533-position model. The record is from RNAcentral.
UACAGAGGUGGCAAGCGUUGUUCGGAAUUACUGGGCGUAAAGGGCGCGUAGGCGGUCGAUUAAGUCCCGUGUGAAAUCCCUCGGCUCAACUGAGGAACUGCACGGGAAACUGGCUGACUUGAGUUCGGGAGAGGGAAGCGGAAUUCCGGGUGUAGCGGUGAAAUGCGUAGAUAUCCGGAGGAACACCGGUGGCGAAGGCGGCUUCCUGGACCGAUACUGACGCUGAGGCGCGAAGGCGUGGGGAGCGAACGGG